RNAcentral lists this ribosomal RNA (329 nucleotides) under uncultured bacterium. RNAcentral's name for it is "bacterial SSU rRNA". It matches the Rfam family "Bacterial small subunit ribosomal RNA", at positions 8 to 334 of the family's 1533-position model. The record is from RNAcentral.
AGGGUUUGAUCCUGGCUCAGGACGAACGCUGGCGGCGCGCCUAACACAUGCAAGUCGAACGAGCGAGAGAGCUUGCUUUCUCAAGCGAGUGGCGAACGGGUGAGUAACGCGUGAGGAACCUGCCUCAAAGAGGGGGACAACAGUUGGAAACGACUGCUAAUACCGCAUAAGCCCACGGGUCGGCAUCGACCAGAGGGAAAAGGAGCAAUCCGCUUUGAGAUGGCCUCGCGUCCGAUUAGCUAGUUGGUGAGGUAACGGCCCACCAAGGCGACGAUCGGUAGCCGGACUGAGAGGUUGAACGGCCACAUUGGGACUGAGACACGGCCCAG